Molecule: ribosomal RNA, 257 nt
Filed under: uncultured Leptotrichia sp.
Lineage: Bacteria; Fusobacteriati; Fusobacteriota; Fusobacteriia; Fusobacteriales; Leptotrichiaceae
Description: partial 16S ribosomal RNA
Rfam family: Bacterial small subunit ribosomal RNA
Source: RNAcentral
GGCGGACGGGUGAGUAACGCGUAAGAACUUGCCCUUUAGACUGGGAUAACAGGGGGAAACUUCUGAUAAUACUGGAUAAGUUAGUAUAUCGCAUGAUAUGCAAAUGAAAGCUACGGCACUAAAGGAGAGCUUUGCGUCCUAUUAGCUAGUUGGUAAGGUAAGAGCUUACCAAGGCGAUGAUAGGUAGCCGGCCUGAGAGGGUGGACGGCCACAAGGGGACUGAGAUACGGCCCAGACUCCUACGGGAGGCAGCAGCG